RNAcentral lists this ribosomal RNA (419 nucleotides) under uncultured rumen bacterium. Its description in RNAcentral is "bacterial SSU rRNA". It matches the Rfam family "Bacterial small subunit ribosomal RNA", at positions 354 to 776 of the family's 1533-position model. The record is from RNAcentral.
GUGGGGGAUAUUGCACAAUGGAGGAAACUCUGAUGCAGCGACGCCGCGUGAGUGAAGAAGUAUUUCGGUAUGUAAAGCUCUAUCAGCAGGGAAGAAAGGCUCGCAAGAGAGAUGACGGUACCUGACUAAGAAGCCCCGGCUAACUACGUGCCAGCAGCCGCGGUAAUACGUAGGGGGCAAGCGUUAUCCGGAUUUACUGGGUGUAAAGGGAGCGCAGACGGUCAAGCAAGUCUGAAGUGAAACCCCACGGCUCAACCGUGGGCUUGCUUUGGAAACUGUUUGACUAGAGUACUGGAGAGGUAAGCGGAAUUCCUAGUGUAGCGGUGAAAUGCGUAGAUAUUAGGAGGAACAUCGGUGGCGAAGGCGGCUUACUGGACAGCAACUGACGUUGAGGCUCGAAGGCGUGGGGAGCAAACAGG